This is a non-coding RNA of Sus scrofa (pig), 5607 nucleotides long. Lineage: Eukaryota; Metazoa; Chordata; Mammalia; Artiodactyla; Suidae. The record is from RefSeq and is a predicted model, not a curated record.
AAACCCUAAAGACUUGUUAAGUGUUCCUCCACCCUUAGCGUUGUUUUUGCAAAAGUUAGUGUCCUUCCCGAUGCUGAAUCAAACUUCUGCUCAAAAUGUCUUGUGUCGGCUGUCUGUAAAGCACUGGAGCUUUGGCGGAGCAGAGACUGUGAGACAACAUUACUUAAGGAGAAGGGUUUCAGUUCAGAUGCCCGGAGUCUGCUUCUACUUUCGUUUUACCCUGCCUAACCUUUCUGAGCCUCAGUUUACUUCUCUAAAUGGGACAGUCAUGCCUGCCUGACAGCGUGCUGCUCAAUAAAUGAGCUAUGUAGCCACCUGAAUUAAGUACCUGAAAAUACUUUUGAUGCUGUUGAACUUGGCCACAAUAAAAACAAACUCAGCAUGUCCAUGUUCAAUUUUAUACGCCACAUGUGUGCACAACAUCACCAGUUCUCAAAAGCCAAGCCUGCAAAUCUGAGGCCAGCAAUGCCAGUUAAUCUUCAUAUAGGACUUCCCAUGUGCCAGUCACUGUGUGAAGCUCUUCAACCGUAUCAGCUCAUGUAACCCAACAAUUUUAUGAGUCCAAAGCACCAUUGAUUCAGAUCCCAGGUGACAAAGUGGAGCACAGAACUGAAGGAAGAGGCUGUUUUCCCAGCUUGCUCAUGAAAUCUUACUCUGCUCUGACAACCCAAAAGCUGGCUGACUUGGCAGCAUUGAGAGAGACGGUAGACUUGGCACCAUCAGCGCUGCUUUCAUGCUGGGCAGUGACAGCACUAAUGCUUUCCAAGUGGCCCUGCAGGAAGCAAACCUGGAGGAACCGGAGCAGUAGAGAAAGGACCAGGUGGACCUGUGUGGUUAAGGCAGCUGGUUUGAGAAGCUGGUGCCCUUCAUCAGGGAGCUAAACACGUGUCUGGUCCAGGAGUCAGAAGGGUUGGAGAAGCUCCGGACCCAACUGGUCUUCCAUCCCAACACGAUCCAGUCUGUCCGUGAGACAAGGUGAGUGAGCUGCAACAGCACCUGGGCUGCACCAGCCUUCCAGGAGCAAAACCAGUCAGGCUGCUGCUCCACUGCUUCAUUUUCACCUUCCCAACUCACAUACGAAAUCUCUUGAAGCCCACACUAACCUGGAGCUAUGCAGAUGAAGGGAUCCUAGGUGCUCUGGUUUCAGUUAAGCUUCAUUUAUACACAAAUCCAUCCAGUAUAGGCCUCCAAACCCAGUUUAAGGACCACUGACUUCACCAAUGGCAAAGGGCCAGAGAACUUUUCUGAAAGUUGUGCUUGGGAGUUUAGGAUUAAAUUUCUAGCCUUGUUGCAUAUCACAAAAGUGAAUGUGUUAAACCUAAAACUCUAUCAGCAAGGAAGGCUAUUGGUCCUUUACUCCAAGGCAGUGGAAUAUGUGGAGGGGUACAGGAAGCUUUCAGUCUUACAGAACUGGGUUUAUGGGGCUGUUGGCUAUUAAUCUUCCUGAAUUUCAGUUUCUUCAUCCAUAAAAGGGGCUGAACGUCCCUACUUUGCAGGAUUCUCCAAGCAUUACAAUAGUGUACAGGAAGCCCAAGUGAACAGUGCCUGCAUACAGUAAAUGCUUGAUAAAUGGCAGCUGUUAUUUCAAGCAUGUCUUAUAGCAUCCAGAUUAAUAAAAGCACAUUGAGAUCUUAGAUCUGUUGAAUAUUUGGAGGAUCACGCAAGCCAAAGACUGCCUAAGCCAGGGUUAGAACUCAGAGAACCAUCAGUUUAUGCCCUGUGAAAGCAGAGUUCUCCAUGUCCUUGGGUUUCAAGAGUGGGAGGGAAGAUCAGACAGUCCCAGUUGGUUAGUUCUAUUGAUGAAUGCCAUCAUUAGCUGCAGGCAAAGGCAGCAGUCAAUAGGAAACCGUGCUCCACAUUGGCCAUGAAAUUCAGUAUUUCCUGAAGGCAGGGGCAUCCUUCAUGCCUCAGAGAGUUGGAAUUGACUUGAGAAUCAUGGAGGCAAAUAAAGUUGUGCAGGGUGGAAAAAGGUCAUGCCUGUCCUAUCAUAAUUUGGUUCUCUCCACCUCCAGCUCUCUUACACCAAUAUAUAACUUAAGGGCCACAAACAUACUUCCUGGCCAGAAUGCACUUGGUCCCAAAUCAGUCAAGAAUCUGGUUCAAGAAACAGAAACCCAAGUCAAACCAGCUAUAAACAAACAAACAAAUAAGUAAACAAGGAUGCAAGGAAGAGGACGGAUGGAAGGAAGGAGUAAGAUUAUUAUUUAUCAGUUUAUUUUUAUUUGGCUUAUGCAAUAGGACAUGCAGGAGGAGAGGACCUCAGGGAAUUACAGGGAUUUAGCUGUACAGUCAGAUCUCUCUGUCUGUUUCUCCUUCUGUCUCUGUCUCUCUCAUAUCACUUUACUUCUCUGCUCUGUUUAUAUUCUCUCCUACUACAGAUGGGCUUCUGCUACCUUGCUAUGGAGAAGUAGAGCAUGGUUCCAACAACUACUGUUGCAAAGGAAAACUCUUUGUUGAAAGAAAGAAAAGAAAAUGGAGAAAAGGAGAGAGGAGCUGGGUGAACAAGGCUGUCAUUAAACCUCUUUUGGAAAGUAUCAUCUUUUGGAAAGUAUCAUCUUUUGGAAAGUAUCAUCUCUUUGUGACUUCAGAUAUCAACCAAGUACUUAAUCAUGUGGAGAGGCUCUUUGUUUUGACUUUGGAGAAAGCAUUUUGGAGGAGAAUGAUUUGAACGAGGCUUUGAAAACCAGAAUUGUUCAGCUGCCUAGAAAAGGAACAAGAAAGAGAUGGUUGGCUUAAACAGGGCUGGAGAUUGGGCAGGACAGUUGUGACAGAAGAUGAGUGAGGCCAGUCAUUAGCAUGCAAAUCUGAGCACGGUGUGAAGAACGGUCCUAAGAGGCUGAGGAGAUUGGCAAAUGGAGAAAGAGCAGAGGGAGUUGGCCUGAAAAUGGGAAGAGAAGAUCGGAAAAAGUGAGGUAAUAGGAGAGAGAGACAGAUACGUAGUGGUCGGAAGAAAUUUUUCAAGUCUGCAAGUCUCAGAUGCUGAGACGUUAUGGAUGAUGGUGAAAACUAAGGUGCGGCUCCAUUAAGGAAGAUUUGAUGGAGAAUGAGAUGGAGUCACAGAGCUCAAGGUAAAGGAACUGUUAGGUCAGAGGGUUAGAGAGAAUAUCGACACGAAAUUUGAAUACCAGCGGAGAAUACACUGGUUAUGGGUGAAAUUUUUUGAAUGACUAUAAACAUAUUAAUGUAGUAUUAAAACACAUGAGCAGUUAGAAAAAUACGUGGAAGGAGCAACCGUGUUCAUUCAACAUACUGAGCCAUGUAUUUGACACGAAACUAUGUUCAAUAAGCAUGAUAUGGUGGAUUCCUCUCAAGCAGUGGAUUCAUUAAUAUUAAGACUUUCCUUCCCACCGUUCAAGAGCACAACUUAACACCUGAUGACCUCGUAUUAAAAACAGAAAAUACAAACUGGUUACUUGGAAGAAAAAGCGUGGUAGAAAAGCUAAACCUUGUGACAUCAGCAUGUACUUAAAUAAAUGAUUGAGCCAAGUAAAUAAUAGUGAUCCCCAAGAAAUUGCUCAUAUUCAUUGUGAAACUACUAAUCGCUCCCCAAUGUUUUGCCAUAGAGUAUGAACCUUCACACUCAGAGACUCCUCCUGCAGUUGCCGAACCAGAUCUGCAGCCUGUCUCACUGAGUCUCCCUCUGGAUUGUCAUAGUACUAGCUUGAUGGUGGUUCAUUUGUAGCCAUCAAAUGCAGAAACCACAGUAAACUGGGCUCACUGGUCCUUUGUAGCGCAGAUGGGGACACAGUCACAAUUUUCUAACGUUCUAAAAAUAAAUAAGUUUUUUUUUUUAGAGACAAGUACUCUAUUAUAUACACUCAUCAGGAGAUUGUGCAGUUUGGGAUGUUGUAAUCAUUCAAAAUCAAAGAGGAAUUGUUAGCCAGAUGUUGAAAAAUAUAUGUAAAUGUGCUCUGGAAGUACGCUUUAUCUCUAAAUCUUCCCAAAGAAUGUUGACCUAGUCCUAAAGCAUUUAUUUACACAUUCUUUUCAAACAAUCUUUAAACUCAGAAGCCCUAUUUUUGCAUCACAUAUAGACAAACAUUGAUAAUAGUUGAAGCUGUGUGACAGAUACCUAUUCUUUCUACUUUAAAUGUUCGAAAAUUUCUGUAAUAAAAAUUUUUUAAAGGUUAAAAAAAAGGGAGAGACAGAGAGAGAGGGAGAUGAGUCCUUUUAUUGUGCUUGAAUAGCAAAGAGUCCCCUUUCUUACUUUUCCCUUUCCUGCUGACAUACAUUGUAACCUAUGAGAAAUUGCUUACUCCAGUUUCCCCAAAACAAAUUAGAAUGUGCUAAUAAUAAGAUUGGGUGGCAUAACAUCAUUAUUAUUUCAAAUAUUCCUUCACGCUUCAUAAAACUCUUCCACGUGCUGUCAUUUCGCUUCCUUCCACAGAACUCUGUACUCAUGGGCGUCCUCCCUAAUAGUUGGCCUCCCAAAAUCCAUCCUGAAAGAGAAUAGGCUUUAGUCAUUCAUAAACCAGUCUGGCAGGUGCCAUUAUUUUAACAUUAUUUUAAUUUUUCAUGGAUUAAUAUCUUUGUAAGGAAAAUAUAACAGCCAACAGAAACCUUCAUUUGCUCCAUAAACAUUUAUUAAGCACCCACUAUCUGCAAGGUAGAUGUUCCAGUCCUGGUUACACAUCCUGCUAGGAGCUUCAGUUUAGAAGCAAUGAUGAGUGAGGUUUAGUGAGAUGACCCUUGCAGUGAGGAAGAGCUUUUUUUAAAAAAAUGCCUAUCCCCAGGCUCCGCACACAGAGAAGUUUUAAGUCUAGGUGGUUCCAGGAAGGGUUGAAAAUCCUUGAUUUAAAUCACCAAGUCUGAGGGGCGACCAGAGAAGACUUAAGCUUUAUCCUGGUGCUGGAAAGGACAAGAAAACAGGGUGCAAGCCUAGAGAAAGAAUUUGGCAGGAUAUGGGUUCAGAACUGACUGGGCUUAGGUUCAAGGCUGGGCUUUGGUCCUGGUGGAAUUCUCAGCAGGAACCCAGAACAGAUUGAUAGUAUAUUGGGUCCAUUGUGUGUACCAGGCACUGUGCAAAGCUCUUCACUUAGAUAAUCUCAUUUUAUCUUCCUGACAACCCUGUGAGACAGGCUGAUUUGGCCCGAUGGCCAGUAAGUGAAUGAGUUGUAUCUGAACCUAAGACUGUUCUGAAUGCAAAGCCUACGUUCUUUCUCUCUCCAUGGUGUCUGUAGGGACUGGGCACAAAGGCUUUUCAGGCUUACCUAGGGGUGAUAGCUAGGAAAAUCAUUGGACUGUAAUGGGCUCUGCUCACAGGAGACAUGAGGCAGCUAUUUCCAUACUCCACUCACUAGUGUGUAAAAUUAACUCCCAGUGACUCCUGACUGACAGGGUUCUCAUUAUUCCCAGAUUAUGUCCUAGGCAACAUAGGGAAAUUGGCAAAUUUUUCUCUGUUCCCCUGGCUUCCACAGUUGUACCUGUUUCUUCCUCAUGGCCUUCACCUCCAUUCACACCAAGUAACACAUGUCUGAUGACAGAUGAAAGCCUUGUACUUUUGAGACCUCGUGUUUUUUGCUUUGUUUUGUUUUUAAAUUUAUUUACUUUUUUGUCUUUUUGCCAUUUCUUUGGCUACACCCGCAGCGUAUGGAGGUUCCCAGGCUA